GUCGGGUGCAGUGGCGCGCGCCUGUAAUCCAAGCUGCUGGGAGACUGAGGCUGGCGGAUCGCUUGAGUUCAGGGGUUCUGGGCUGCAGUGGACUAUGUUGAUCAGGUGUCCACACUAAGUUCGGUAUCGAUAUGGUGUUCCUGGGGGAGCUCGGGACCACCAGGUCGUCUAAGGAGGGGUGAACCGGCCCAGGUCGGAGACGGAGCAGGUCAAAGCCCCCGUGUCGAUCAGUAGUGGGAUCGCGCCUGUGAAUAGACACUGCAGUGCAGCCUGAGCGAUACAGCGAGACUCAGUCUUUU
This 299-nucleotide signal recognition particle RNA is filed under the name Carassius auratus (goldfish). RNAcentral describes it as "Metazoan signal recognition particle RNA (ENSCARG00000026535.1)". It matches the Rfam family "Metazoan signal recognition particle RNA". Rfam says of the family: The signal recognition particle (SRP) is a universally conserved ribonucleoprotein. It is involved in the co-translational targeting of proteins to membranes. The record is from Rfam by way of RNAcentral. Lineage: Eukaryota; Metazoa; Chordata; Actinopteri; Cypriniformes; Cyprinidae.